GACACACUGGAGGUUAAAGGAAGGCCCAUGAAAGAUGCACUAGCAGAUGGAACUGGGAACUAUCUAGGCAGGGCUAGACAGCCUGUAGGAGGGGAGUUCUUUCAUUGAAAACUCAGGGCCUGUGUGCCUGCACUCAAGAAUUGAGAAAGAAGGGAGAAUUUUAGCAUGACUGGACUGUAGCAGUACUCAGACCAGUCACCUGUCCCUGUCAUAGCCGGAAGAUUCACAUUAUGCCAGAUGAAGGACCAUGGCUAAUAUCCAUUAUAUUGAAGGUCUGACCUCAAGAUGAGACACAUGAUUUCCAGCUUUUAUCAUAUGUAUUUCUUUUAUCAUAAGACCAUUCUGUUGACUUGAGGACUUGGAGCAACCCAAGACAAUUGAGGAUUAUCUAUUUCUGCAGCGAGCAACCCAAGACAAUUGAGGAUUAUCUAUUUCUGCAGCGGGAUCAAUAUCUACACCGAGGAUGAGAUACAGUGUUUUCAAAGCUUCUCUGUUCAGUUACUCUGAUGACAACUGGAAAAUAUCAUCUACCUUACAUCGCACAUGGUGUUUUCCUCCUGGUGUAUCAGCCCUGCCUUCCCGCAGCCUGACUCAUGUUCACAUUAUAGAAAUCACCUAGGAUGGAUGUUUCUGUAAAGGUAAUAGGAUACCCUUCAGUAGGAAAUUCAGGAUAUCCAAGUUAACACACGAUGUUGAUCAUGAGACCCGUAAAUGUUUCUCCUCACAUCUGCACCCUUAGCUCCAAGUUCAAACCAGCAGACCCAAU
RNAcentral lists this long non-coding RNA (766 nucleotides) under Mustela putorius furo (domestic ferret). RNAcentral's name for it is "lncRNA (ENSMPUG00000031722.1)". The record is from RNAcentral. Lineage: Eukaryota; Metazoa; Chordata; Mammalia; Carnivora; Mustelidae.